Molecule: ribosomal RNA, 265 nt
Filed under: uncultured bacterium
Lineage: Bacteria
Description: partial 16S ribosomal RNA
Rfam family: Bacterial small subunit ribosomal RNA
Source: RNAcentral
GUCCAUGCCGUAAACGAUGUCUACUAGCCGUUGGGGUCUUUGAGACUUUAGUGGCGCAGCUAACGCGAUAAGUAGACCGCCUGGGGGAGUACGGUCGCAAGACUAAAACUCAAAUGAAUUGACGGGGGGCCCGCACAAGCGGUGGAGCAUGUGGUUUAAUUCGAUGCAACGCGAAGAACCUUACCUGGCCUUGACAUAGUAGAAACUUUCCAGAGAUGGAUUGGUGCCUUCGGGAAUCUACAUACAGGUGCUGCAUGGCUGUCGU